UACGGGGGGGGCAAGCGUUGUUCGGAAUUACUGGGCGUAAAGGGCUCGUAGGCGGCCAACUAAGUCAGACGUGAAAUCCCUCGGCUUAACCGGGGAACUGCAUCUGAUACUGGAUGGCUUGAGUUUGGGAGAGGGAUGCGGAAUUCCAGGUGUAGCGGUGAAAUGCGUAGAUAUCUGGAGGAACACCGGUGGCGAAGGCGGCAUCCUGGACCAACACUGACGCUGAUGAGCGAAAGCCAGGGGAGUAAACGGG
Molecule: ribosomal RNA, 253 nt
Filed under: uncultured bacterium
Lineage: Bacteria
Description: partial 16S ribosomal RNA
Rfam family: Bacterial small subunit ribosomal RNA
Source: RNAcentral